Phoenix dactylifera (date palm) is the source of this 3485-nucleotide non-coding RNA. Lineage: Eukaryota; Viridiplantae; Streptophyta; Magnoliopsida; Arecales; Arecaceae. The record is from RefSeq and is a predicted model, not a curated record.
CCAUGAUAAAAGGCAAUUAGACAAAGGGGAGUUUUAGCCUCCGCGCUCCCUGUCGACAUUGUUGCCGCUAGAAAUGAGAACGGCCACCGGGCAAGCAACGCCUCUUCUCCGCUACCGUUUUUGGCCUCAUCUCCCCUCUUUCCCUCCUCCCUCCGUCGCCUUCUGGGGAAAAGGUGGAGGCGCCGUCGCCGUUACACGACGCCGGCUCCUCCGCCACCCGGCAGACCCGAUGGCGUUUUCCUCCAAUUUCCCUCGGCAGGCGACCACGCCGACGAGGGAGCCCUUAUACCCUCUCUAACCCUAGUUCCAAGAACACGAACGGAACCCUAGCCGCAUCUGGAUCGAUCCGGAGGGGAGAGGAGGGACGUCAUCGCCGUCGACAUGAGCCGCCGGGGAUACGUCACGCUUCCCGUCAUCCUUGUGCUCGCGACCGUCUUCUUCGUCUACUACGCGACCGUCUUCGUGGUGAUCGAUGAGUGGUGGGGCUCUGGACCGCGGCGGGGCUGGGGAACGCCUCCGUCUUCCUCUACUAUUUACUCGCCGUAUUCAGGGAUCCGGGCCGCGUGCCGCCGUCGUUCUUGCCGGACAUGGAGGACGCCGAGAACCCGAUCCAUGAAAUCAAGCGGAAGGGUGGAGAUCUGAGGUAUUGCCAGAAGUGUUCUUAGGAUAAGCCUCCCCAUAUGCAUCACUGUCGUGUUUGCAAAAGAUGUAUUUUGAGAAUGGUAUGUAUGAUGACUUGUAUUUUCUUUUUCAGAAAACUUUUCUCGGUAUUUGUUAUGGCCCUGGAAUGCCUGCAGGAUCACCACUGCAUCUGGAUAAACAAUUGUGUGGGGCAUGAAAACUAUAAGGUCUUCAUUAUUUUUGUGCUGUAUGGCGUGAUUGCCUAUCUACUUGAUGGUUCUUCUUGUCGGAAAUUUUACUCGUGAUACACAGAAGGAUCAGGUGCACAGUACUAACUCUAAUAAAAUAACAUAUCUCAUUGCUGGAGUUAUUCUGUGUCCCUUAACUUUGGCGCUAAGCAUCCUGUUGGGUUGGCAUAUUUACCUUAUCUUGCAGAACAAGACCACAAUUGAGUACCAUGAAGGAGUCAGAGCAAUGUGGCUAGCAGAAAAAGUAGGAAAUAUGUACAGACAUCCAUAUGAUCUUGGUGUCUAUGAAAACCUUGUUUCAGUAAGAAAAGUUUCUCUCUCUUCUUUUCUUUGUCUGUUGUUUUGUAGUUUGUGAUCAAAAUGCAUGCCAUUGAGGACCAAGACAAUCAUUAUUUGUUGUGGUAAAAAUUGAGUUCAAGGUCAUGUUUGUUCAGUCCAGUCAUAACCAAAAUGAUCACACCUGUUUUUCAUAUUGAAACCAUGGAUGGUAAAACUUGUCUUUAUAUAAUGAUCUACCAAGGCAUGAAAAUCAAUAAUCCCAUUAAACUGUGGCUUGUGGGUUGAUCAAUUUUAUGCGGUUCUCGUCAGAAGAAUUAUCAUACCCUUGAUACUUGCCUUGACAGAAUCCUGGCAUCGAUUGCUGAUGUCUUGCUGAAACAUCCAUCCUUUUCUAAAGAUGGCAGUCAAUUGAAACUUGCUCCUCUAGAAAUGUUUGUAAUCUUUGUUUUAGCAUUUCUUGUUUUGCUUUGUUAUUCUUCCUUUCCCAUUGCGAGUGGGGAACUUUAUAUUAAUGUUAACUGCUUGUGCUGUUCUGUGACACGCCAUUCAUCUGAAACCAUCUGACAUUGCCCUUGCUUACUCUUAGUUGUCAUCAUAAAGACUUCUACCUUUUUUAAAGUUAAAUUUGUCAGAUGUCUGUUUUUAUGGUGAUAGUCAGCAUUGAUAUAUUCAGUCCUAUUAAUCCUUGCUUGCCCUAACUUGGGCAUUGCAUUGCUACUCUCAAUCUCAGCAUUAUUUCAAUUGUAUAUUUAUGUUACUGUUUCUCAGCAUCUAUUUUAUUAUGUGGUUCCAUGAAGUUCACAUUUGAGAAGAGGCCGGACACUUUUUAUGUGGACCUUUUUAGGGGUUCUGCAUCAUUACUCCUCCACAUGCUCUCAGUUCAGGGUACUUAGCUUUCAAGGCAUUCUGUAUUUUGAGCUAUAAGUUUAUCAUGGUUCCAACUGAAGGCAUAAGUUUUAGAAGAUACCAGCUCUGGGGCGGCAGCAUGGGAGAUCAUGCCUGUGGAUAUCUGAAAUUUGGCCAUUAACACCAUCCAGUGACUUAAAAAUCAACUUUGCCUGCAGGCACUAGGGCCUAACAUCUAUUGUUGGUUCUGCCCUGUAAACUACAAAGGCUCUGGUCUCUUUCGCACUGCAUUUGACCUUCCAAUAUUUACAGCACUAACAUGAUGUAUCUAUCAGGUGGCAAAGGACAAAGUAAUUUGUUAAUAGGAGAUGGACACCGCAUAAAUUUCCGUGGCCGAGCCUCACUUGCGAGUGCCGGUUACGCUCAUGAAGUGUGCUUGCGGUACCUUUUUUUGGGUCCGACGUGCUGGCUUCAAGUUACUUUUGUGGGUGUUCUAUAAAUAGGGGCAAGUAGAUGGAACAUUCUUUGAUGGGGGAGUAUUCAAGGGUUUGGAAGAAGCUAAUGUUAUGAAUAAACUUUAAUAGUCCAGUGUAAUAUAAUGUUAAAUUAUAUGCUGCCUUGCGGUGAUGUAUUCUGAUAUGGAACCUCACAAACCCCACCAUCCUCCCCUGCUCCACGGUGGUCACCAAUGAAUGCAGGCAUUAGAAUCUGACAUUCUCGUUCUGACAUGUAAUAUUGCUGCGCAAAGCCAAGACACAAUUUGGCGUGCAACAAACCAAGUUCUGCACGGAAUUAUUCACAGGGAGGGAGUGCCCGGCGGGCGUGGGGGAUUCAGAAUUGAAUUGCAACCCAGGAAUUGAUAUGAUAUUUUCCGUUCUUUUUUUUUUUUUUCUGCAUCACUUUUAUAAUUCUACUACGUUGGCAAGAUGUACAACCUUUAUAGAGGCGUAUUCUUGGCUUAGACGAGAGAUGUCUCGUCCCUCACCACGUGCCUCUUUGGUCUUGUUACCCUCGGCUCACGGAGACCCUGAGACGGUCAUAAGUUUUCUUACCCUCAAGAAAGCAGUGACUUUUGGAACAAAAGGCCUCAUCUCUUUCGCCUUUUUCUCAACGUCUCCUUAAUUGAUCACAGAGUUGGAAACCCUAAAACUCCAUGCUCUACUGUACUUGAAACAGCUUGGUCUUGACUUCUGCCAUCCAAUCCUGCAGUGAGGUUUGCCAGCCCCCAAUUCAAGAAAGCAAGCAAUGUUGCUGUUAAUAUCCAUGUAGUAGCGGACAUAAUCUGGAGGCUGCACAACAAAUUCACACAUUUCAGCGCCAAUGAUGCUAGGUAUCGUCUCUGAUGCUAAUAAGCUGUCACUAUCUACUGUUUUCGCGCAUGAUCGUGUGCAAGGAAAGGUUACUGCUCUAGCAGUCAUUGUAUAUUUUAUUGUAGAAAGUAGUUAGCAAGUUGCCCAUUUUACCCUCAAAUAAAAUUUAUCAGGAGAGCAA